CUACCCCUGGAGCACAUAGUCCAUGUGUGCCAAGAGUCAGCACUCACAGAACCUGCCUAGAGCAUAGUGAGUGUCUGGCAUGUCACAUGAGAUCACGAGGGUGUGACCUGGAAUCUUGGUGUGGGGCUGAAUCAAAGCAGAUGGUGCACUUUGGUUCAGGACCGUGCAAACAUGUGGUCCUACUCUGCAGGGAGAAAGCAGAGUGGGACUUAUUUUGAUUACACUCGGCUCCCACCUCCUCCAACUCCAGACAUCUUUCAGAACAGGGAAAUGAGCCGGGAGUCCAGUGAUACUGCUGAUAUGAUUCAGGCCUCCUUGGGAGGAAAGCAACCGGAAGCAGAGGGCUGGCUGCUGUGCAAUGAGGUCAUCCCUUUGGCAUGCUGUCCUGGUCCUGGAGAAAGACAACAAGAGACAGAAGCUAUUUGGCUUCUUGGCUGACUCUCAAGUCUUAACUGAGGUCCAGGAAAGGUUGAGGUGUCGGUAUGGAUCCACUGUUGCCAAGGACGCAAGAACAAAACCCUUCAUUUUAAAUGCCAGUGGAAAAAUGUUCAGGAUAAAUACCAAGACACAUAAUGUGCUUUUAUUAAGGCAGCUUUUAAAAUGAGUUUUGGAAAACAGCCUUCAAGUGACUAUAAAGGUCCUCCUUGAGUGGAGGUCACUUGAGAAUUUGGCUUUGUGGACACAAACACUCCUGAACUGUUUUGGUUUUGCUGCCCUCAGGUAGGAGCCCCUGCACCUGGGCUGGACUCAAGCUCUGGGAUUACAGACACAACAUCUUGGCUCUGAAUGGAACACUUGAAAGUCUCAACAAUAAAAGGAGUCACGCAGCCCUGAGGGCCUCACCUACUGUGUACUCACUGGCCAUGAGGUCUCUAUAGCCGGUGGGAUCCCAGUCUGGUGUGGGAGAUUUCCAUGUCCGUCUCCAGUGAAAGACGAGCAUGUUCAGGGAGCCUUGCCUCCCUUUCCACCUGAGGAUAUCAACAACUCUGCUGUGAUGCAAAUGGUUUUGUUUCCCUGCAUGCUGCCUGCCAUGACCUGCUGCCUUACGCAACACCCCAAACAGUGGACCAACCAACAAUAGUCUGCUAGCUGAGAUAUAGACUUUUCUCUUUAAAUUGGUCAUCUCAAGUAUUUGUUGCAAUGGUAGAAAACUGCUUAACUCAGUCUCUCCUCAUACUGUCACUGCUACCCAGCCAACAUCAGCGAUGGUGUCCUCUCCUGCCCUGGCCCUCCACAAAAUGAAAACAAAAC
RNAcentral lists this long non-coding RNA (1251 nucleotides) under Cricetulus griseus (Chinese hamster). RNAcentral's name for it is "lncRNA (ENSCGRG00015037587.1)". Lineage: Eukaryota; Metazoa; Chordata; Mammalia; Rodentia; Cricetidae. The record is from RNAcentral.